AGCAGCCGCGGGAACACCGGCGGCCCGAGUGGUGAUCGUGAUUAUUGGGUCUAAAGGGUCCGUAGCCGGUUUGGUCAGUCCUCCGGGAAAUCUGAUAGCUCAACUAUUAGGCUUUCGGGGGAUACUGCCAGACUUGGAACCGGGAGAGGUAAGAGGUACUACAGGGGUAGGAGUGAAAUCUUGUAAUCCCUGUGGGACCACCUGUGGCGAAGGCGUCUUACCAGAACGGGUUCGACGGUGAGGGACGAAAGCUGGGGGCACGAACCGGAUUAGAUACCCGGGUAGUCCCAGCCGUAAACGAUGCUCGCUAGGUGUCAGGCAUGGCGCGACCGUGUCUGGUGCCGCAGGGAAGCCGUGAAGCGAGCCACCUGGGAAGUACGGCCGCAAGGCUGAAACUUAAAGGAAUUGGCGGGGGAGCACAACAACGGGUGGAGCCCUGCGGUUUAAUUGGACUCAACGCCGGACAACUCACCGGGGGCGACAGCAAUAUGUAGGCCAAGCUGAAGACUUUGCCUGAAUCGCUGAGGAGUGGUGCAUGG
This 539-nucleotide ribosomal RNA is filed under the name uncultured archaeon. RNAcentral describes it as "bacterial SSU rRNA". It matches the Rfam family "Archaeal small subunit ribosomal RNA", at positions 460 to 997 of the family's 1478-position model. The record is from RNAcentral.